AUGUUUCUAAUAUUUACAGGGAUUUCCUUUAUAGGAAUAAUGCUCAUGGACGAGCUGCAGCGGGACAACUUGGAGAGCAAGUACUUUGAGGACAAGAUCAAGGAGAACCAAGAGAAGAUCACCGGUUACCUCAUACUUCUCGGCAUGCCUAGCAACUUUGGCAGAUCCCUCUUUGGCUUCGACCAAGUUACAUUUGUCACUAGCCAGCAGCAUUUACAGGUGUUGUCAGUUCUGGAAGAUGGAAGAGGAAGAAAAAUAAUUUUUGUUGAACUAAAUUUUCUGUAUUCUGUUUUGUUGUAUGUAUGA
Molecule: ribosomal RNA, 306 nt
Filed under: Triticum aestivum (bread wheat)
Lineage: Eukaryota; Viridiplantae; Streptophyta; Magnoliopsida; Poales; Poaceae
Description: partial small subunit ribosomal RNA
Source: RNAcentral